GACGAACGCUGGCGGCGUGCUUAACACAUGCAAGUCGAACGGAAAGGCCCUGCUUUUGUGGGUUUCUCGAUCGGCGAACGGGUGAGUAACACGUGAGUAACCUGCCCUUGACUUUGUGAUAACUUCGGGAAACUGGGGCUAAUACCGGAUAUGAGCUCCUGCUGCAUGGUGGGGGUUGGAAAGUUUCGGCGGUUGGGGAUGGACUCGCGGCUUAUCAGCUUGUUGGUGUGGUAGUGGCUUACCAAGGCUUUGACGGGUAGCCGGCCUGAGAGGGUGACCGGCCACAUUGGGACUGAGAUACGGCCCAGAAUCCUACGGGAGGCAGCAGUGGGGAAUAUUGCACAAUGGGCGGAAGCCUGAUGCAGCAACGCCGCGUGCGGGAUGACGGCCUUCGGGUUGUAAACCGCUUUCGCCUGUGACGAAGCGAGAGUGACGGUAAUGGGUAAAGAAGCACCGGCUAACUACGUG
This 468-nucleotide ribosomal RNA is filed under the name uncultured bacterium. RNAcentral describes it as "partial 16S ribosomal RNA". It matches the Rfam family "Bacterial small subunit ribosomal RNA", at positions 28 to 507 of the family's 1533-position model. The record is from RNAcentral.